RNAcentral lists this ribosomal RNA (405 nucleotides) under uncultured bacterium. RNAcentral describes it as "bacterial SSU rRNA". It matches the Rfam family "Bacterial small subunit ribosomal RNA", at positions 355 to 776 of the family's 1533-position model. The record is from RNAcentral.
UAAGGAAUAUUGGACAAUGGGGGAAACCCUGAUCCAGCAACGCCGCGUGGGCGAAGAAGGUCUUCGGAUCGUAAAGCCCUUUUCUGAGGGAAGAGAGAGGACGGUACCUCAGGAAUAAGUCUCGGCUAACUACGUGCCAGCAGCCGCGGUAAAACGUAGGAGGCGAGCGUUAUCCGGAUUUACUGGGCGUAAAGCGCGUGCAGGCGGUUGCGCAAGUUGGGCGUGAAAUCUCCUGGCUUAACUGGGAGGGGUCGUCCAAUACUGCGCGACUUGAGGGCAGGAGAGGGAAGCAGAAUUCCUGGUGUAGCGGUAAUAUGCGCAGAUAUCAGGAGGAAUACCAGUGGCGAAGGCGGCUUCCUGGUCUGUCACUGACGCUAAGACGCGAAAGCUAGGGGAGCGAACGGG